This is a small nuclear RNA of Hydra vulgaris (swiftwater hydra), 188 nucleotides long. RefSeq annotates it as U2 spliceosomal RNA. The record is from RefSeq and is a predicted model, not a curated record. NCBI's taxonomy places the organism in Eukaryota, Metazoa, Cnidaria, Hydrozoa, Anthoathecata, Hydridae.
AUUGCUUCUCGGCCUAAUGGCUAAAAUCAAUACUAGUAUCUGUUCUUAUUUCGGCUCCGGACUAUCUUUCAAUUGGUUUCGGUGUUGUUAGACAGCGUAAGAUCGAAACUGUGAUAGUCGAUAGAGGUUCUUGGCGUUGUCGCUUUUUGUUGUCUCCUUUUACAUCCGGGAAUCUCAAAGCAAUCCGU